AUAACAGGUCUGUGAUGCCCUUUAGAUGCUCUGGGCUGCACGCGUGCUACAAUGUUAGGAUCAAUAGGAUUUUUGUUUAGCGAAUCUGAAAGGACGAGCUACUCCUAUAAUCCCUAACGUAGUUGGGAUUGACGUUUGUAAUCAGCGUCAUGAACCAGGAAUCCCUUGUAAAUGUGUGUCAACAUCGCACGUUGAAUACGUCCCUGCCCUUUGUACACACCGCCCGUCG
This 229-nucleotide ribosomal RNA is filed under the name uncultured eukaryote. Its description in RNAcentral is "partial small subunit ribosomal RNA". It matches the Rfam family "Eukaryotic small subunit ribosomal RNA", at positions 1453 to 1678 of the family's 1831-position model. The record is from RNAcentral.